This is a non-coding RNA of Chelonoidis abingdonii (Abingdon island giant tortoise), 118 nucleotides long. The record is from RefSeq and is a predicted model, not a curated record. Lineage: Eukaryota; Metazoa; Chordata; Testudines; Testudinidae.
GCAGGGUUGUUGCAGUGGGGGUUGUGGUGCUGCUACCCUUACUUUCGCGCUGCUGCUGGCGGGGCACUGCCUUCAGAGCUGGACAGCUGGAGAGUGCUGGCUGCUGGCCGGGAAUCCA